RNAcentral lists this non-coding RNA (22 nucleotides) under Rattus norvegicus (Norway rat). Lineage: Eukaryota; Metazoa; Chordata; Mammalia; Rodentia; Muridae. The record is from RNAcentral.
GAAAAGUAACGGUGUCGAUGAC